This 844-nucleotide ribosomal RNA is filed under the name uncultured bacterium. RNAcentral's name for it is "bacterial SSU rRNA". It matches the Rfam family "Bacterial small subunit ribosomal RNA", at positions 549 to 1398 of the family's 1533-position model. The record is from RNAcentral.
AUUUACUGGGCGGUAAAGCCGCGUGUAGGCGUGUUCCAAGUCGGGUGUGAAGCUUGAGCUCACUCAAGAAAUGCACUCGUACUUGAUGACUAGAGACCGAGAGAUAGUGGAAUUCCCAGUGUAGUGGUGAAAUACGUAGAGAUUGGGAAGACACCAGUGGCGAAGGCGGCUAUCUGGACGGUUUCUGACGCUAAGACGCGAAAGCGUGGGGGAGCAAACAGGAUUAGAUACCCUGGUAGUCACGCCGUAAACGAUGGGUGCUAGACGUUGGCGAGCUUGCUCGUCAGUGUCGCAGCUAACGCGUUAAGCACCCCGCCUGGGGAGUACGGUCGCAAGAUUGAAACUCAAAGGAAUUGACGGGGGCCCGCACAAGCGGUGGAGCAUGUGGUUCAAUUCGACGCAACGCGCAGAACCUUACCAGCCCUUGACAUGGGACUCGCCGGGAGCAGAGACGCUCCCUUCGGUUCGGCCGGAGUCCGCACAGGUGCUGCAUGGCUGUCGUCAGCUCGUGUCGUGAGAUGUUGGGUUAAGUCCCGCAACGAGCGCAACCCUCGUCUCCAGUUGCCAUCAGGUUAUGCUGGGCACUUUGGAGAAACUGCCGGUGACAAGCCGGAGGAAGGUGGGGAUGACGUCAAGUCCUCAUGGCCCUUACGGGCUGGGCUACACACGUGCUACAAUGGCGGUGACAAUGGGAUGCGAAGGGGCGACCCGGAGCCGAUCCUGAAAAACCGUCUCAGUUCGGAUUGCACUCUGCAACUCGAGUGCAUGAAGUUGGAAUCGCUAGUAAUCGAGGAUCAGCAUGCCUCGGUGAAUACGUUCCCGGGCCUUGCACUCACCGCCCGUC